This 1355-nucleotide ribosomal RNA is filed under the name Togoperla limbata. RNAcentral describes it as "16S ribosomal RNA". The stretch from base 650 to 1355 matches the Rfam family "Archaeal large subunit ribosomal RNA", at positions 1423 to 2837 of the family's 2987-position model. Lineage: Eukaryota; Metazoa; Arthropoda; Insecta; Plecoptera; Perlidae. The record is from RNAcentral.
GAAUGAUAAAUUAACUGAAGAAUAAGGAUAAGAGAAAAGGUUAUAUAGUAGCUAAUAAUAAAAACAUUUUUAUGGGAUAGUGAGUUGAGAGUAUUGGAUAAAGAAAAAAUUGAUUGGGUUAUAGAGUGAUAAUGUACCGUGAGGGGAUAUUGAAAUAUAAAGGUAAAAUUUGAAGAUAGUAGAUUUAUUUUAUUGUACCUUUUGUAUCAGGGUUGAUUAAAAUUGUUAUAGGGAUUUAUAAUUUUCUCGGUUUAAAGAGUGUAAAUUUAUUCUGUAGGUUAGUAUGGUAUAACUAUCUAGAAGGAUAGGUUGGAAAUGAAAUGUUAAUCGUUCUUUAAGAUAUCUAGUUUCUUAAGAGAUGAAUUUAAUUCAGUUAUUUAGUUUAAAGGAGAUAUAAAGUGAUUAUUACUAAGAUUAAAUAAUAAAGGUUUGGGGGAUGAGCUUCGGAUUUAAAUUUAAAAAGUUAGUUUAGCGGGAGAGUUAUUUAGGCUUAGAAAUAGCCAUAAUUGGAAUGAUGUUAUAAUUUAAUUUUCUUGAGUAUUAUUUUUAGUGGUUUAGAUAUUAGAAUUAAGGUGAAACAGCGAAUGACGUAAUGUUUGAAAUAAUGAUUAAAUUAGUAUAGUUAGAAUUGAGCAUGUAAAAAUAUAGGCUGUUAUGAGAAGGGAGGUUAGAGUAAGGAAUUAGGCAAAUUUAUGUUCGCCUGUUUAACAAAAACAUGUCCUUUUGAUUGUAAUUUAAGGUCUGACCUGCCCACUGAUUUAAAUUGAAGGGCCGCGGUAUUUUGACCGUGCAAAGGUAGCAUAAUCAUUAGUCUUUUAAUUGGAGGCUGGAAUGAAGGGUUGGACGAGGCAUAGACUGUCUCAUUAUAAUUGGAGCUAGAAUUUAACUUUUGGGUGAAAAGGCUUAAAUGGAUUUAAAGGACGAGAAGACCCUAUAGAUCUUUAUAUUAAGGGCUUUAUUAAUAAUUUAGUUAGAUUAGUUUUAUUAGAGAAUUAAAUAUUUUGUUGGGGUGACGGGAAGAUAGAGUGAACUCUUUCUUACAAAGGACACUGAUUUGUGUAUCGAUGAUCCAUUGUUGGUGAUUAUAAGACUAAGUUACCUUAGGGAUAACAGCGUAAUCUUUUUUGAGAGUUCUUAUCGACAAAAAGGGUUGCGACCUCGAUGUUGGAUUAAGGUUAAAUUUAGGUGCAGGAGCUUGAGUUUUUAGGUCUGUUCGACCUUUAAAUCCUUACAUGAUCUGAGUUCAGACCGGCGUGAGCCAGGUCGGUUUCUAUCCUUAAAUUUGGAUACAUAUUUUAGUACGAAAGGACCAAAUAUUUCAAUUAGUUUGUGAUUAGUGGAGGAACAGUAAAGUG